Bombus terrestris (buff-tailed bumblebee) is the source of this 1131-nucleotide long non-coding RNA. RefSeq lists it as uncharacterized. NCBI's taxonomy places the organism in Eukaryota, Metazoa, Arthropoda, Insecta, Hymenoptera, Apidae. The transcript is spliced from 2 exons. The record is from RefSeq and is a predicted model, not a curated record.
UUGUAUAGAUUCGUUCAGGGACCAAAGUUGAGCGAGCAAAGAGAGAUCCAGUUGUCGAAGGCCAAACUGUAAAACGUUACGAUGGAUUAGCGUAUCUACGCGUGUGAUGCACGCGGUUGCCAAGCGGUGGAAUUCCAAAUUUACUAAUUGAUGCGAUGUACUCUGAAGAGAGUGGCAACUCUCGGGAUACUUGCCGUGAGAACGAAGGAAGAGGGAAUUGGGUAGGAGACGCAAAAUGAGAAUGGGAAUGAGAGGUGUUGACCAAGAACGAAGGAACAAGAAAGGAGGGAAUAACGAGAGUAGAGGUAGAAAGGAACGAAGGUGAAAGAGAGCGGCCAGAAAAAAGGUGGCGAAGAGGGGAGUCACGCCUGAGGGAAUGCAGCGUGGGAGCGGCUGUGCCAGUUCACUCCGUGUGUGGAUUAACUAUUAAACUAUUAGCCCGACUUUCGAGCGAACUAUCUUUUGGACGGCGACCGCUAUAUUCAUCGUACAUCAUAGAUCGAAAAUUUGACUAGAUGGAUAUAGACUAUCUUGCUAGUAAAAUAGCUUUCCGUCGACCUGAUUCAAAGGAAGAAGGAACGAGGAAAAAAGCUUGUCCUCGACGCAACGGAUGACACAAAGAACGCGUUAGUUUCUCGAGAGAAAAGCCCACGCUUUGAAUACAUAUUCACUGUGUUUUACGAUGUGGCAUACACGCGUAAUAAGGCCUCGAGGUAACGGAUUCGAUCGGAACGACUCCGUUUAACACGACAUGUACGAGGUGAUAGAAAGGCUGAUUAUGCUUGAAAAACGUCUGGUUUUCAUCUUAGUUACAAAGCUUGACAUUCCGCUAACACGCGAUGAGUGACGUUUUCAUUAUUCCGACCUUCCGCCAUUUAUAGAAACCUUGCAUCGUGACUCGUAAAUCCGUGGAAUUUUCCUAGUGACUCGUUAAUCUAUAAUCUUGACAGAAACACGUGAUUAACACCGCCUAUUCGAACCAGCCUCCUCUGGCAAUUAUAUCUUUAUUCGAUCGAUAUCUUUUCUGCUGUUUCUUUUUAAUAAACAGUUCCUGUCUACCGGCAAAAAAUGAUCUGGCACUAGAGAAGAUCGAUAUCUUUUCUGUUGUUUCUUUUUAAUAAACAGUUCCUA